Long non-coding RNA from Nomascus leucogenys (northern white-cheeked gibbon), 3701 nucleotides. RefSeq lists it as uncharacterized. NCBI's taxonomy places the organism in Eukaryota, Metazoa, Chordata, Mammalia, Primates, Hylobatidae. The record is from RefSeq and is a predicted model, not a curated record. The transcript has 2 exons.
AUUUGAUCCUCUGUGGACAAAAGAACGGAGAUUUAUUGUCAGCUGCCAGGACUCUGAUGGUCCCCUGCUCUUCACAACCUAGGAACACACGUGACCAGGAAAGACGCCCAAGAAUGGCAGCUGCCUUGCAGCCAGGCAUGGGUCAGACACACCAAUAUGGCAGUCUGACAUCCAGAGGCCAACCCAGGCCAAGGAGAAAAACAAGAAACACCUGCAAAGACAAUUCCCAGGUCCCAGAAGGACGGACAAAUGUUUGGUGAGCUCAUUGGUCCCUUGUGGCUCGUGUACUAAUACUCUGGCUACACUGAGGAGGAUGAAUGCCUAAGACUGGGUGGGUCAGAUGUCUCCACAUCACAAAUGGAAACGACAUGCUGACAAGAUUUACCCUGAAAGCUUUCAAGCUGAGAAAGGGCUUGGUUUAGUUGGUUGGGAAGCAAGCAGGCCCGUAUGGUCAGGGAAGCUGAGGACCACUCUUAGAUAUCUGUACAAAAUCCUUCUGGUCUAUCUGGAAGAGAGGUUCAAUAUCAAAGGACUUGGUUUCUGUCUGUAUUCAAUAAGCUCUUCACUGGGGACAAAGAAUUGACUUGAUUAAGGCAAAUGAACCUUCUUUUUUCUUGAAGAAUUUAAUUAAGGGGAUCUAAUGGAAUCUUUGCCACUCGAAAGAAUUCAUCUCUCCAACAGAGAAGACCUUCCACAUUUGAGAACUCAGUACCUGAGAACAGUUAUGAUUCUUUGCAAACAACCUGAGGAUUCACAACAUGCAGUAAUUUACAAUUUUGCUGAUGCAUGAAUUUGAAUAUAGCGCAUGCUGCAAAGCUUGUGUGCAGGGGACAGAAUGAAGUGAGUGGUGGGGGAAGGGAUUUCGGAAGUGAAGCCAGUUCCCCAUCUCACAUGCACUCACAGUACUGAUUUCCCAGGAAAAAGCCUGCGGAGCAUGUCCUCCCCACCACCGGGACUGGAGGAAGGGGUGGCUCUAGGGGACUAUGGGAGUAGGCCACUGUCCCAGCAAAGGGGACAAAGAUGGGAGAGGGGCUAGGGGCACAAGGCUGGAACCCCAUCAUCUGUUCAUAGCUGUGUGGGCUGAUGAGGGAGGCCCCAGUCAGCAGGAGGGGAGGGGAGGCCUUGGGGCCACAGGACGGGGUCUGGCCCAUCCCAGCUUCCAGACCUCAGCAAUCUUGUUUCCUACUCCUGUCCCAUGGUAAAGGGCCACUACCAUUUCCCCCACCCUUCACUGCAAGUCUCAAGGAAAAGCCUGUGUUCAGGAGGGAGUUGCCAAGGCCUCAAGAAAGAUCCCUCCUGAGUGCCAGGGAUUACAGAUUCCCAGGGGACUUUCCUAAGGCCUCGGCCUGUCCCCUCCAGCCCUGCUCACCUCGGAAGCUCAGCUCACUGUCACUAACCCCACAGUCCUCUGCAGAGCUCUCCUUCUCCUGCUUGCUGCCGCCCCGGCUCCUCUUGACGCUCUUAUAGAACUGCCCCCAGCGGUGCCGCCCUGCGUCCUUCUUCAGGCGUUUCUCUUUGGCCCUUCUGUUCUGAAACCAAACCUGCCACACAAGCACAAGGGACACACUCAGGGGGCGUCCACCACAAACCCAAAGCCCCCAGGACCCCCAAGGCGAGCGGCUGGAAGCAGACUGGAGCACAGGUCUGGGAGUGCGAUGCACCCCGCCCCCUCUCCCCAGGUGGGCCUCAGAACUCUGUCUUCAGUUCUUGCAAAAGCCCUGGGGUCAGGCCCUGAGCCCAACCACCCGUGAGCUGAUGUCACUCAGGACACCUUCCACCCCUGCCCCUGGCCUGGGAUCCCCGGAGGGCACAGGAGUGCUGGCAUCUCACCUGUACGACCCUCAUGUCCAGGCCUGUCUCUGAGGACAGCUGCUCCCUCACGUGCCGGGCAGGCUUGGGGGAGUUCUUGUAUGCAUUCUUUAAUGUCUCCAGCUGCUUGGCUGUGAUGGUGGUCCGGGGCCGCUUAGCUCCAGCCUCUGAGUCAUCUGCAAGGAAAAACCACUGCUUACUGGCUUCGGCCUAUAUGCAGCAGCUGUGCCUCCUCCCACACCCCCCUUCCAUCCUUUCUGCACCUAAGCCUGCCUGCUGUAGGCAAGACAGUGCGAGGCACAGGGGACAUCAGAGUGGAGAGGUCCCCGCUCUCAUGGCACCAACUCCUGCACCACAGGCCUUUCCGAGCCACUGAAAAGUGAGGACAGCAGUCCUUUCUCCACUCAGCUCCCUGCCUCUCCCCUCCCCCUGCCAGCCCAGCUGCACAGAAGUCUCAUUAGAUUGAAUGAAUGUACCCAAUUCCACACAUGUCCCUGUCAUGACAGACACUCUGCUCUCACAUCCUCAUGAGUUCUUGCCAGAGCUGUGAAGGUGAACAGCCAGGUUGAAGUCUGUGUUCAAAGCCACCCUGGAUGCCCUCCCCUCUGUCUCAUCGGGAGUCUCCCAUUUCCCCACAGCCAUGUCACCUUUGCCCUGGCGUUGCUGGGCUCACAGCCAGGGGUGAGCUUGCACACCCAACAGUGUCUAAGCAGGUUUCUAAACUAUGGGUCAGAACCCACUCGUGGGCUGUAAAGUCAACUUAGUGGAUCAAAACUAAAAGAGGAAAUCAGAUGAAGAGAAUGGAAUGGCAAGAUCAUUUCAUUAAACUUCAGUUUUUAUUGUAUGAAUAUGUGUACUGAGAUGAAAUGUAAAAUGAGUUUUACUGUGGAUUGUAGUCAAAAUUUUAUGAGAAAACUAGUCUAAGGAAUGUUCUGGGCAACACACUGACUGAUCAACACAAAGUCCUCGACAGAUUUGGAGUGAACAAGCUCAAGUUCCUGUUAGUUAAAGUCUGGUUUGUUCCAUUCAGAGUCAGGUACAGAGAGGCGCGUGGGUGUGUUCGGAAGCACAGGUGAAUGUAAAGGUUUGUUUCCUCUCCCAGCACUUAGGCUUACUGCCCUUUUCUCCACCGUGCCCCUGGAGGACACAAAGAAUAAAGUCAGCAGCUGGCCUGGGCAGCUCUGCUCUCUGUGCUUGCUGACCUGUGUACCCCGGAAAGUGUCUCUGUGACAUUCCUGACUUCCUCUCUGUCUUUUCUCCUUUCUUUCCAUUCAAGAAAACCCUCUCAGAAACAAUAAUAGCCAACAUGUGUUAGCCCCUACCAUGUGCUGGUGUUGACUAAGGACUUUAUAUGCAUUCAGUCCUCACAAUCUACAAGGCUCUCCCUGGAGUCAGCAGACCUGGCUUCAAUGUUCUUGAUGAGUGAGUGACUUGGGCCAGUAACUCACUUCACCCUUGGAAGGUCCAGAGGGCAACACGGCCUGCCCUGGUCUUGGGAGGCACUAGAGGAAUGAAGCAGCUGUGCAGCCAGGACAUGCAUGCACACAGUGAGGGGGGACACACCCGUGCCUUCCCUUCUCCUCGGGCUGUUUUCUUCUCUCACGUGGCCACUGUCAUCCCGGAACUACUGUGGCCCAACUCCCUCCCAGAAGCCCUGAACCCGAAGGGUAGGGAUUCCAGAGCCCCUGCCGCAGAGACUACACUACUUAGAGACUCAUUCCAAAAGACAAAGGGGAACCUCCAAAAUGCCUUCCUUUUCAUUCUGAGGAGUCUGUCCCUUCUGUGCAUAUUUAUAGUCUACACGGGAGUGUCUGAUGCAACUUUGAAUUAUGCAAAUGGGAAAUAGUGCACUUGGAUACAAUCUUUAUAUUAAAAAAUGUGAAAUAAUGCAA